Molecule: ribosomal RNA, 96 nt
Filed under: Vannella robusta
Lineage: Eukaryota; Discosea; Flabellinia; Vannellidae
Description: Vannella sp. CB-2014 partial Bacterial small subunit ribosomal RNA
Rfam family: Bacterial small subunit ribosomal RNA
Source: RNAcentral
AACCUUCGGGAGGACGAUCACCACGGUGUGGUUCAUGACUGGGGUGAAGUCGUAACAAGGUAGCCGUAUCGGAAGGUGCGGCUGGAUCACCUCCUU